RNAcentral lists this transfer RNA (61 nucleotides) under Indotyphlops braminus (Brahminy blind snake). Its description in RNAcentral is "tRNA-Ser". The record is from RNAcentral. Lineage: Eukaryota; Metazoa; Chordata; Lepidosauria; Squamata; Typhlopidae.
AAGAAUGAACCUUUAGAGCUGCUACCUCUAACCCCUGGUUCUAACUAAACCAGCAUUCUUA